Non-coding RNA from Termitomyces sp. 'cryptogamus', 88 nucleotides. NCBI's taxonomy places the organism in Eukaryota, Fungi, Basidiomycota, Agaricomycetes, Agaricales, Lyophyllaceae. The record is from the annotation of a GenBank genome assembly.
GCAUUAAUGGGGUAGUGGUAACCUGGGUCGUUGCCAACAGCAGACUGUGUGGUUCGACCCGCCGGGGGUUCGAUUUCCCCUUAAUGCA